GAGAGAUAGAUCGAUAAUAGAGAGUGCCAUUCUUUGACGCGAUCGUUUCUUACGCAACUAAACAACAGUACGUGGUCGUCGUUGUAGUCGUUGUAGUCGUUGUAGUCGUUAUAGUCAGUGCCGUCAGGGUAUGAUUUCAAGAGAUGACAUCAUCGAAAAAGAUGCAAGUGGAUGAAAGAGAAGGAGGAAAAGAAGGAAGAGGUGGAAAAGGAGGAGGAGAAGAAGAAGGAGGAGGAGGAGGUGAAGGAGAAGGAGGAGAAGGAGACAUUCGCGAAUUCGUGUGCCGCCAAAAAUAAAACACCGGUUGUGAUAGUAGCGGAUAAUGAGCAUAUGAGGUUGGGCCCGAGCGAGGUUUCAGGGCCGGUCGUUCCACCUCGCUUGCUACGCGAACACCGAUAACUGCAGCGAGGGGAGUAAAGAGAAAAGAGUUGAUGGGACACGACGACUCAAACCUCUCACGUCGUACACUGUCCAAAUACAGUCGAUCCGAUCGGUUAACCGUCCCGCUUACGACACUACGAAAUGGCUGGACGUUAAUCGAUUGUAGCAAUUUGGGAACAAUUUGUGAUCCUUUCGUUAAAUAAAUCGAGAACGCAUCGUUUUUCGUUAUUUAUAGCCAUUUAUAUCAUUUCUUUUGUACAUUUAAUAUGUAAUAAUUUAACGUAAACGAUAUGUCUUUAUUAUUUGAUUACUAUUAUUAUUAUAAAUUCUUAAAUAAUGUUUAAGAAUUGUUCAAUAUCAAGGAAUCGUGACGAUUCGAGAGAAAACGUGGAUCAUCGUAAUAAACGAAAUGUAAAAUUUCGAAAUAAAAUUAUUCGAUUGUGACGGGCUCGAAAUGUUCCUUUCGAGUGAAUAAAAUAAUAUCGAUAAAGGGAGAAUGAGCCUUGUGACUACGAUAAUUGUCAAAAAUAUAUACACGUUUCGUUACACGGACAACAAGGUCGUACAGUGAUUUCGCGAAGGCGACGAAGAAGCGACUCCAAGAAAUUGCAAAUGGACGAAAUUCUUGGGAAAAGUCAAGAAACCGAGACGUCCUUGACAUUCGAGAGUUUCAGCCUUUUAUAUAUAUACGUCGGUAUGCCGGAUGAUAAUGCUGCGAGAUCUGGUCUUUCCAGAAACUCACCAUGACCACCCAUUAUGCCGUGCGUCAAGUAAAGGGGUGCCCGUCCACAGAAUGCAUCCUUGGCAAGGACUUGCCGUAUCAGACGAGGAUCCGACAAAAGUACAGUGUAUACAGAACCCAAUUUCAAUCCACAGAUCGGACCAUAUUUGUAUAUCAAUUCGGUAAAUGUCUCAUGCGGUGCUUCCGGAUCGAUCCAUGGUAAAUAACCAACAAUUGGUAGGCACCAAGGGCCAGGUGGUAAACGAUAUCUCUUGCGAAUCAUGUAAUAAAGGAUUAUUAGCAAUAUGAAAAUUAAUAUGAUCGUAAACAUCUUAAAUGUUCCAAGAUAUCCCGAUUGAAAUCCUCUAUCGCUCUUUAUAACGAUGAUUAUCUGUAAAAUGUGAAAAAAUUGUUUUUGUUUCAUAAUCGAUAAGUGUCAUUGCACUUACGCUGUUAUGCGAAGUGCGAUGAAGAAGAAGGAGAAGGAGAAGGAGAGGAGGAGGAGGAUAAAGGAUGAUGGAUGAAGAUGAGGAUGAAGAAGAGGAGGAAUGUACAAACAAAUUACGAGAAUCAAAAAGGAUGGAAAAAAAUGGAAAGAGGGAAAGUAAGAAAAAAGAAAAAAAUGAUGAAAAGCAAAGUGGAAUCUGCCUCUACGUGCAAUAUAUAGUUCAUGGAAUAAGAUACCAAUCGUCACGUGAUCCUUCUCCUAUGGAAUUCAUUCGUAGGAGCAGUUCGUAAGAAUAAGAUAUAUCAUGUGGUUCAAAUUCAAAGUUUCAUUGACAUUUUUGACGAUAUUAAUCUUAAAACUAAAACUCACCUGAUGGAUGACGCCUUGACGAUCGCCGACAUUAAACUUUACGUAACAGUGGACGACUUCAGCGCCGAAGAAGAACUUUCAAUGAAACAAAUUCGACGCGCGGGAAUUUUGAAAAGAUAUAUAUAUAUAUAUAUAUAUUGCCGUCUCCCUUCUUUCUUAUACCGUUACGAAUAAAUAAAGUUUUGAGUGAACAAAUUCUUAUGAAAGACGAACUAUGAUGGUUGAUUUUUUUCUUCCUCGCCGAAAGAAAAAGAAAAGUAAAAAAAAAAAAAAACAGAAAGAACCUUCGAACUGACUUCACGUGAUACAUAUACGUCGAAUACUUUCACAAACGUUUUUCUUCUUCUUUUUAUUUUUUAUUAUUUUUUAAUUGUUUUUUAAUCCGAUUCUUUUUGUCCUCUCGCGUAAGAAAAAGACGAUCCAACUACGACGACGACAUCGAACAAAAUGCGUUUAACGAAUCGUCGUUCGAGAUAAUAUUAGAACAAUUUGACUGUUAAAUCAAUGAUAAGACGUAUCCCAUGAAUAUAAGAUAUCCUUUGAAUAGAUCUGAUCUGGAAUGCAUUGACGAUUCUACGUAAAAAAAAAUUUUAUAUUCGUUCGUGAAGGAAAAAAAAAAAAUUUAUGUAUUCUUAGAUUGUCUUAGCAAAAGGAAAAAAAAAAAAAAACAAAAAAAAAAAGGGAAAA
This is a long non-coding RNA of Vespa velutina, 2606 nucleotides long. RefSeq lists it as uncharacterized. NCBI's taxonomy places the organism in Eukaryota, Metazoa, Arthropoda, Insecta, Hymenoptera, Vespidae. The transcript has 4 exons. The record is from RefSeq and is a predicted model, not a curated record.